CUUCGGCCCGAGUUGUAAUUUGCAGAGGAAGUAUUUGGCGCGGUGCCUUCCGAGUUCCCUGGAACGGGACGCCAUAGAGGGUGAGAGCCCCGUCUGGUUGGACACCAAGCCUGUGUAAUACUCCUUCGACGAGUCGAGUAGUUUGGGAAUGCUGCUCUAAAUGGGAGGUAAAUCUCUUCUAAAGCUAAAUACCGGCCAGAGACCGAUAGCGCACAAGUAGAGUGAUCGAAAGAUGAAAAGCACCUUGAAAAGGGGGUUAAACAGUACGUGAAAUUGUUGAAAGGGAAGCGUUUAUGACCAGACUUGUGCCGUGUGGCUCAUCCGGGGUUCUCCCCGGUGCACUCCACACGGUUCAGGCCAACAUCGGUUCUCGUUGGGGGAUAAGAACAGUAGGAACGUGGCCCUCUUCGGAGGGUGUUAUAGCCUAUUGUACGAUACCUUGAUGGGGACCGAGGACCGCGCUUCGGCUAGGAUGUUGGCGUAAUGGUCAUUAGCGACCCGUCUUGAAACACGGACCAAGGAGUCGUCCAUUAGAGCGAGCGUUUGGGUGUAAAACCCGCACGCGUAAUGAAAGUGAAAUUAGGUGAGAGCUUCGGCGCAUCAUCGACCGAUCCUGAAGUUUACGGACGGAUUUGAGUAAGAGUUUUAACGGACGGACCCGAAAGACAGUGAACUAUACUUGAAUAGGGUGAAGCCAGAGGAAACUCUGGUGGAGGCUCGCAGCGGUUCUGACGUGCAAAUCGAUCGUCAAAUUUGAGUAUGGGGGCGAAAGACUAAUCGAACUGUCUAGUAGCUGGUUACCGCCGAAGUUUCCCUCAGGAUAGCAGUGUUGACCUUCAGUUUUAUGAGGUAAAGCGAAUGAUUAGGGACUCGGGGGCGCUUAUUAGCCUUCAUCCAUUCUCAAACUUUAAAUAUGUAAGAAGCCCUUGUUACUUAAUUGAACGUGGGCAUUCGAAUGUACCAACACUAGUGGGCCAUUUUUGGUAAGCAGAACUGGCGAUGCGGGAUGAACCGAACGGGGGGUUAAGGCGCCAGAAUGUACGCUCAUCAGACACCACAAAAGGCGUUAGUACAUCUUGACAGCAGGACGGUGGCCAUGGAAGUCGGAAUCCGCUAAGGACUGUGUAACAACUCACCUGCCGAAUGUACU
RNAcentral lists this ribosomal RNA (1150 nucleotides) under Melanconis stilbostoma. Its description in RNAcentral is "partial large subunit ribosomal RNA". It matches the Rfam family "Eukaryotic large subunit ribosomal RNA", at positions 131 to 1307 of the family's 3401-position model. The record is from RNAcentral. Lineage: Eukaryota; Fungi; Ascomycota; Sordariomycetes; Diaporthales; Melanconidaceae.